Mauremys reevesii (Reeves's turtle) is the source of this 1061-nucleotide long non-coding RNA. RefSeq lists it as uncharacterized. The transcript is spliced from 3 exons. The record is from RefSeq and is a predicted model, not a curated record. NCBI's taxonomy places the organism in Eukaryota, Metazoa, Chordata, Testudines, Geoemydidae.
CAAUACUUGUCAUGUGUUUGACACCUCGGGGUAUAAAAUAGGCUCAUAAUCAACUAUGGGGAAGCCAAAUACCAUGAUGGAGGCAAAUAUCACUCCCACUUUACAGCUGGGGAAACUGAGGCACGCAAUGCGUCAGUGGCAGGAACACACACUCAGACUCCAGCUGUAACUAUAAGAUAACGCCACUUGGUUUUCUCUGGAUUACAUUUCUGUAGGGAAACCAAAGGCUUUAUUCUGCCCUUUCUCAGGAAUGGCAGCAGAAAUCUUACUACAUUUGCAUAAGACCGUACAAGAAGUGAGUGAUGCAAUCUUCCUCUUUCUAGUCAUUCCACGUAAGACGGAGCAGCCCCGUGCGAGGCAUACGCUAUACCUCUCAUGCAUGCAGAAUGACUCAUUUGGAACUAUUUUUGCUGGACUCACAUGAACCUACAUAUUUCCGACUUGGUGCAUUUUUAUCUCUUGCUUUAAAUAGCACAGAACAGAACAAAAUGCCCCCCCCCCACUACCCAAGCAGCCUGGUAAUUCAAGGACAAAACUGGAAGCCUUGGCUUCACAGUGCAGUCAUUGCCAGAGCCAGACGUGUCUCAUUUCAUCCGACCGUGCAGCAAGAUGGAGCUGUCACUCUGGCUUACGGAAAAUUUCCAUUCACUGACUAGGCUGUAGAAGGAGAAACUCAGCUUGUGAUGCCACCAUCAUUAGAGCCUACUGUGGACUAAAAGGCUUCCUGCCCCCCGCUAGCCCUACGCCCGCCGCAGCGUACAUCUGCCAGCACCGCUCUAUUGGCCAGCUCAGUGGGGAGCUAAAGCCACCCAUUCGCCACCCACUCCUGCCACCACAUGUGGGCGCUCGGGGGCACCUUAUACCCUCUUACGUACAAAGUGGGCCUUUAUUAAGGAGCUUGAUCCAACUACAUGCGCAGAAGGGUUCUGGCUACUGACUGACAACACAACCAGCGAAACGCAAGGCUGACACGUGACCUCAUCAGACCAAAACCGCACAGACUGAUUAUCUGUCCUGAGGGCAGGACGGUGCCACUUCUGAGAACUGUCGAUUGACCCUUU